RNAcentral lists this long non-coding RNA (7551 nucleotides) under Brassica napus (rape). RNAcentral's name for it is "long non-coding RNA (BNAP_LNC008635)". Lineage: Eukaryota; Viridiplantae; Streptophyta; Magnoliopsida; Brassicales; Brassicaceae. The record is from RNAcentral.
ACGAGGCGUUUGCAAACGCCGCAGCUGCCGCAGAAACAGGCGAAGGAGAAGGGGAACUCACCUGCAAGGCUUCCGCUAGGGUAAUAGAAUCCAACGAAUUAACAAGGUCGUUUAAAACAUCUUUAUAGUUAACCGAUCCAGCGGCUGCAGCAGAAGCGGCGCAACUCCUCAGCCGUGAGAAGGCAGCAGCUUUGUGAGCCGGAGAAAGAGGUGGAGAUGAGGAGGGAGAUCGAGAAAGAUGAGACAAGUUACCCAAAAGAGUACUCGUCGGAGAACCGCUACAAAACAAACAGCAAGGAUUCUGAUUCUUGGCAGGAGACGCAGAGGCUGAUGAGCCGCCGGAAUCAUUUUCCGGCGGAAGAACCCUAAGCUGACGUGGCGAAUGAGCGAAGAAACAUACUUUUCUCUUACAGUGUUUACCAUCUUUACAAGCCUCAGUACGGUAACGAAUAGGAUGGAGCCAACACUCAAAGACUCCAUGAGCAAACUCACAGUCAUCUCCACGGCUGCAAUCACCACCACGGCGAAACUCGGGACAAACCUCACCCGAGUAUUGAAACCUACGAGGGUCACGACGGCGAGCUUUCUCUCCGGGAUGAGCAAAGGGACAGUCAGUCCAGUCGUGGCUUCGGCUACGGGUACAACGUCGGAUCUUGAAUUCGAACAUACGGAAAUGAUCGCUCGCGUAAGGAUCAUCGGUGUCGGAAUCAUAACAAUACUCUUUAGUAUCUUUGUUGUUGUUGGUGUUGUCUUCGUUGAAGCUGUCCUCUCCUUGUUCAGAUGUAGAGAUCUUGUUGCUCUUGUUGUUCCAGUUAUGUUUACGCGGCGAAGAACGAGGGGAAGCCUCCCCUGAAAAAGACUUGGAGGACAAUAGAAGCUUCCGAGGUGGAAUCUCAACCGUUGGUCUCACGACGUCCAUGACUAAUAACAAGAAGACGAAGACUUGUUUUGUUUAUUCUUGUGUUAUAGUUUGAGAGAUGAGCGCAAGAUGAGAGAACAUGAUAUUGCAUGCGGUCUAUUUAUACGGGAGUUUGAGUAUGGAUACAGACACGAGAAUAAGUUAAAACAUAUAUAAAAAUAUUGUUAGUUUUAGCUUUUUUUAGAUUAUUACAUCUGUUUUAUGAAUGGUGAUGAGAUGUAAUAAGAAGACAAAAGUUGAAAGGAGAAGCGUGAUAUGGUAUGGGGAGAGGAGUCGUGGCAAGAGAAGAGAAGAGUAAGAGAGAGGUCUCAUGCAAAGAAGCAGGAGCUGCCUUUCUCUCCUUGCUUCAGACCUAACACAUGUGCUUAUGUUUUCAUCAUCAUAGUCACCUCUUCUCUCUCCCUUAUCAAUAUCCAUUAACUAUCUCUUCCUUUUUCGAUUUGUUUUCUUGUCAAAUUAAUAAAUAAGUAGAAAAACAACUUUUUCAUUACAAAAUUUAUUAAAUUUGUAAAUCAUACGAACCUAAAAGAUUAAUGUACAUGAUUCAAUAAUAUAUAUAGUGGCAUAUUUAAUUUUAUAUUAUACAAAUUUAGAGGGUUCAUAAUUUGCGUACAUCGAAUCUAACAAGACUUUGCAACACAGAAAGGAUAGGCACAAGAUAUAAUACAAGUCCAGCUACAAAAGAUGUUUCAGAAAAUACGUCUUUAUAUUUCAUACGCCAUUUAUCAUCGGGUUAUACAUGAAUUAAAUAAUACCAAUACUUGUAUUUCUCAAAGGGCAGGAUGCAUGUGUAUGUACAAGUGUCACGUUUUCGAUUGGUUGCGUGGCUGUGAUGGAAGCAAAUACAUUUUUGGUUUCUACCUUCAUGGUUUCAGCUCAUAUAUUAAUAUUUUCGAUGACUUUUACGUCCAAAGUUUAGAAUAAAUCAAGUUCGAAUAUGUAUUUUCUUUUGGAAUUGGAUAGAGAAACACGAUAAAAAGGCAACACAAACGAAGCGGUAAUUUACAUUAUUAAACAGUAAACGAUAAAUAUAAUAAACGGCAAAAAGAACAUUGUUUUUGUUAUUAUAUAGGCAUUAAUUUCUGGUUUUUGAGAUCAGUGAAAUGUUUUUGGACCGGUAUUCAUUUUGGCAUCAUUGUGACUCUAAUUUGGAGGUAUCGUCUAUGUCCUUACGUGCGUCAUUGUUCUACAAAUUCCAAAGCUUCUAAAUUUGGUGCUUAUUAGAGAAACAACCUUGUAAUUUGACGGCAAAAUAUGUUCAGUAAUCAUCUGAUGAAGAUUUAUUAUUGCAAUCGGUUCAGAGGGACCUUGAAGUACGUUUGCGCAUUUAGUGAAGAGAGACACUGAUUGCUGUAAUAGAAGACGUAUUCAAGGAACAAACUGAUCAGUAAAACAAAAUUUCAUUGGUGAUGAAACGACGUCGUUGAACAAGGGAAGAUAAGCAUCAAAACGACGCAGUUUCAAGGAUAUAGCCGUUAGAGAGAGGAGCCGAUGCAGAAAAAGAAAAAAAUCUUUAUUCAAAAUCUGACCGUUGUGACGGUACUCGUUCCUUUUUUAUUCACAUUCCCUCCGCAAAGAAGGAACCAAGAAAGAACAUCUCUCUCGCACUCUCUCUCUCCCCCUAGUUCUGCGAUUCGAUCUGGUAUAGGCAUGGAAGGAGCAACGGAGGAACCAAUCGGUAGUGCAGCGACGGCGAUCGUUGAUCAGACGUACGAGUUCUUGGCGCCGCGAUGGUUCGAUUUCGUUAACGGAGAGACGGAGGACGAGGCUCGCCGAGCUGAGCUCUGGUUUGCAUCGGCUCUUAGCUGCGCUCCUUCUCGUGAGUAUCUUCGUUUGAUCGCUAGAUCCCUAGGUUUCGGAAUCGUUGUUAGAUCUGGGGUUUGGAGUUCUGAUUUGAGUCUCAAUUAUGAUUAGGGUUUCUGAUUGAGAAUCGAAAUUAGGGAUUGCAAGUUGAAUCAAGAUAAUUUAUGUUCACAGUUGAAUUCAAGUUUUGUGUGUGUGUGUGUGUGUGUGCAGCAUCGGUUCCUAGAAUCAAAGCAAGGAGAUGUUUCAAGGUAGAGACAAUGUGUAACUUCAAUGAAGAAGCAGAUGAAGAAGAUAAACCAAUAAAGGUUUCGCCUCAAAUCAACAAUGAUUUAUAUCCAUUGCAAGCAGGAAACUUAUAAUUAAGAUUCAAUUUUGUUUGCAGGAUAAAGAACCGUCUGAACCAGUAGCUGCACCUAUUGCUUCACAACCGGAGACUGAUAUUACCUCUGAGGCUAAGAGAGAAGAAGUUGAUACUACUGAAGCAAGCACAACUAAGCCAUCUCUCAUCAGUUCCAAGGACGCAGCAGAUGCAAGGUUCUUUAUUUAUCUUUUUUUUUGAGAGUUUGUAAUGGCAUUUGAGUGAGAUGAGAGGCUGUUCUAAUAAUAUUUGUUCUUGUUCAUUCAACAGAAAUACCAGGGACAAAACGCCCAAGCAGAUAGAAAACAAGGAGAACAUUCCUCCUUCUAGGACAGAAGCUUGCACACCCAAACCACCACUGCAGUCAUCUCAUGGAGGAAAGUCAAUGGACCUUAAGAAGCAGCAAACUGCUAGAAAGAUAGCUAGUCUUUUGAGGAAUCCAUCUGCACUUAGGCCCAAAAAUCAGUCACAGUCGUCGUCUCAACUGAAAGGAACUAAUCAGAAAAGUGUGAAAAGGUACACUCUUCAUAAACAUUCCAUACCCGAAUCUGGUUUCACGUUCCUCUUGUAAUCGUUUUGUUAUGUGUUAUGAUGGCUCAUUGCAGGGUAACGAGUCCCAAGAACAUAGCUGGCACUACCAGUCUGAUUCAGGAUAACCAAGCCAUCAAAAAACAAAAGCUAGAUGAUGGAAAAUCAAGACAGGUGAGCCAAAAUUUUCAACAACAUCAAGCUUAACUUCAUAUCUCACUGCAUGACUGAAACUGUUACCUCCUCAUCAUUGUUUUUUUCUAGAUUCUAAAUCCAAAACCAACAACUCUGCUCCACAAGACAAGGCAAGGUCUCGUUAACACCGGUUUCAACGUAUGCCCUUCGGUCACUAGGCAAACUCCGAAGGAGAACAGAAAGGUACGUUCUGCUUCAUGGAUGCUUAUAUAAAGUUUUUUGACAGGCUCUGGUUCUCAACUCUUGUGUGUUCACUCUUUAGGUUUAUGUCCGUGAGCAAGUUGCACCUUUCAUGUCAACUGCUGAGCUGAUGAAAAAGUUCCAAACAAGCACGCGAGACAUGUCACUGCCUCAUGCCAACCCUUCUCUUCCACAGGUAAACUCUUGAUACUUAUUCCUUUUUAUUUUCUUGGAAUAUCUUCAAUUAACUUCCAGACCGCUGCUGCUUUCCUUGUGCAGAACCGAACUAAGUUGACACUGACAAGACCAAAGGAGCCCGAAUUUGUGACAUCCCAACGAGCUCGCCCUGUAAGAGUGAAGAGCAGUGCAGAGCUUGAGGAAGAGAUGUUGGCAAAGAUUCCCAAGUUUAAAGCUCGACCUGUGAACAAGAAGGUAAUGCAUCUGGUUUCACAGUGGUAUAUAUUUACCUCAUAAAUAGAAAUCUAAAACAAAACAAUGCAUUCUCUUUUUUUUUUGAUGCAGAUUUUGGCAGCUCCAGCUUUGCCUGCGCCUCAGAGAAGCACACCACAACUGCCAGAAUUUCAGGUAGAGACAGACAUUCAGAGAGUAUGAUCAUUUUAGAAACGAAUCUGUUAUUGAUCUACAAGAGGCUCAUAUCUUACUAUUUGCAGGAAUUCCAUCUUGAAACAAUGGCGAGGGCUAGCCAACAUGCAGAGACAUCUUCAAUUGCUUCAACAGAAGUGUCUAAGCAGGUAUGGAACUUAUUCUUUGGCUACAGAAAUGUUUUAUGUACUUGGUUUCAUGCCAUCUGAUAUGCCUCUGUUUUCUUUGCACCCAGCAUAAUGAUUGUAGGCCUCACCUUACUGCACCAAAGAGCCCCGUGCUCCAAACAAUGCUAAGAGCUCGUCCUACGAAAGCAAAAACAACUGCGGAACUUGAGCAAGAGGAACUAGAGAAGGCACCAAAAUUCAAAGCAAAACCUUUAAACAAAAAGGUACUACUAAACAAGUGAUAUAGAUAACUUACAUCUACUUUUUAUAUCUCGAUCUAACUUGUAAGCACAUGAACCCAUCCAGAUAUUUGAAAGUAAAGGAGAGAUGGGCAUCUUUUGCAACAUGAAGAAGCACAUAACCAUACCUCGGGGACCCAUGUGACGGCGCGUGAGGGAGUUUGUGGAAAUAAUGUUUCUGGCGUGUUAGCUCCAGCGGUUACUGGAUUUUUCUUAGAUCUCCCGCAUGCUACUGCGUCGAGAGAGGAGCUGGUUCGAGGUUUCCCAGUCCGGUUCGAGCCAAUGGAAAUGGGAUUGAGUAUCGGUCUGAGAACUACCGUGGAAGUCAAGAGGGAUGCCGCUGAUUAUAAGCUUGGAAGGGAUCUGAAUCUAGAACUUAGCUUAGCUCCAUCGAUGGACGUUUAGUCAUCUUUUUUUUGUACUAGAGCUUAAUUUUUAAUUUAACAAGAAUAUCCUUUUUAUAUUAAAGAAAAUUAUCCCUUUUCAGUUCGUCUUGAAGAAAUAUAUUUUUGUCAUUUCUUUAUUGUGGCUGUACUCCUUAUUGGUAGAUUUAUGUUUCUAUACUUAGGUGUUAUAUCAUUUGUUGUCAAUAUGUUUCUACUGUACUGAGGUUGGUCGAUUUUGGACUAGAGAUAAAAAAAAAACCAAAAGCAACAAAAAAACCUUAACUAUUUGUGACAUUUUAGUCUAGGCUUAAAAAGUUAAAAAAGUAAAAAAAAUGGUAAUUUGAAUUAUUUAAGAGGACCUACUUAAAGUCCUAACCAUUUGGGUCUUGACGAGGGAUGAGCAGAUGAGGUAUUGGUGUCAGGUGGGUGUUCACGUGUGCUUUUCGCCGUCCACAAGACACGUAGUAGAAUAACAAAAGUUUUCUUAUUCCUUCCCUUGUCUAAAAAGUCUUCACGCCUCUCUCAUCGUGGCGGUACUCAGUUAAUGAAUCAUGGCGAUACGUAGUUGUGGAUUUAUACUUUAUUCUCUCUUCCCCAUUGUUAAUAAGGAGGACUAUAAUCCACAGCUGGAGUAUUUACAUGUUUGUAAAUCCCAAACAUGCAUGAAUGUAUCUCAUACUAUAUAGUGUUAAUGGACACGUCUCAUUGUGAACAUCUGUCGACCACAACACAUGCCUCCUAUAUAUGAAAACUAAUUGGUUUCGCGAGGUGUCCAAAAUAAAACUUAUCAGUCUUUUAUACGAUAAAGUAUAUGACCAAAUCGUCAAUAAUUUCCUUCUGGAAUACAACUAUAUUCUAGUCGACAAACACAGCCAAAAAAAACAUAACACGUUUCAACGUGAGAGAUUUUGAAUAAUUUGAGAAUAGCGCAAAUGAAUCUGAUUAUACAUGUGAUCGUUACUCAUGGACAAACACGUUUUGGAAUUAGAUGGAACACUUUCAAGAAUGAUAUACCAUUGUUUUCUUCAAAAGAACGGGUAUAAUAUUCGUAUAUAUCCACUUUCUAACUCUGUUUGAUUCUAACUAAGCCUAAGCAUGGCCUGUUCAAUUAUAUAUAGCUUUUAUACGUACGUCCUUAUUCGCGUCCUGAACAUCCUGCAGUUUAUUUCCUUCCUAAUAUAUCAUCUAUUAUCAAAAUCCAUAAUGAUGGGAAAAUCCAUGGACCGACCCCAUCCUGGUAAAUAGUCCGAAUCCAGUGUUAACGAUGUGACGGAAAGAAAUAUACACCGAAGCGAAAAUAUUCAUAGAAAUAGUGAAACAUUAUACAAUCCGAGUCCACAUGAUACAAGUUCAAACAUAUUAUUGGGUAAAAUCCAACCAAAAAGAUAUAAUUCUAGAAACAAAGACAAUACAGACGAUUCUUAAUUAGCUCUCCUGGAGAUCCGUAGAACAAUAAAAUCUCGAAAACAAAUUUCAACAACAAUCCCUCCAUGCAUACUGAGGGAACCGUUGACACUGAUCAUUUUUCCCCAUGAUUCAUGAACGUAAAUUAAUCUCCACCAGAAUAUACAUUCGUGGAUCUAUCAAGUCAAGAGAUCAUUCACCCAUCCAAUAUCAGGGUCGCCACAAGAACCAUCCUCAAACCUAGUCUUGUCCCUAACCGCCGCAGGUGUAAACUCAUUCACUUCUCGCUGGCGAGGAGUGUAAUCAUCGCUGAAGAAGCUUGCCCUAGGUGAGUUGGCUAGGUAACUUGGAGUGGAAGGCGAGAGGGCGAAUUGUAACGGACUGCUUUGUUGCUGUUGUUGGAUAUGGAGACGCUGAGUGCUCAAACCGCAGGACGAGGCGUUUGCAAACGCCGCAGCUGCCGCAGAAACAGGCGAAGGAGAAGGGGAACUCACCUGCAAGGCUUCCGCUAGGGUAAUAGAAUCCAACGAAUUAACAAGGUCGUUUAAAACAUCUUUAUAGUUAACCGAUCCUGCGGCUGCAGCAGAAGCGGCGCAACUCCUCAGCCGUGAGAAGGCAGCAGCUUUGUGAGCCGGAGAAAGAGGUGGAGAUGAGGAGGGAGAUCGAGAAAGAUGAGACAAGUUACCCAAAAGAGUACUCGUCGGAGAACCGCUACAAAACAAACAGCAAGGAUUCUGAUUCUUGGCAGGAGACGCAGAGGCUGAUG